GAUGUAGCCAAGUGGAUCAAGGCAGUGGAUUUGUGAAUCC
Molecule: transfer RNA, 40 nt
Filed under: Chuquiraga longiflora
Lineage: Eukaryota; Viridiplantae; Streptophyta; Magnoliopsida; Asterales; Asteraceae
Also listed under: 1 other name
Description: partial tRNA-His
Source: RNAcentral